Molecule: ribosomal RNA, 440 nt
Filed under: uncultured bacterium
Lineage: Bacteria
Description: partial 16S ribosomal RNA
Rfam family: Bacterial small subunit ribosomal RNA
Source: RNAcentral
CCUACGGGCGGCAGCAGUGGGGGAUAUUGCACAAUGGGGGAAACCCUGAUGCAGCGACGCCGCGUGAGUGAAGAAGUAUUUCGGUAUGUAAAGCUCUAUCAGCAGGGAAGAAAAUGACAGUACCUGCCCAAGAAGCCACGGCUAACUACGUGCCAGCAGCCGCGGUAAUACGUAGGGGGCAAGCGUUAUCCGGAUUUACUGGGUGUAAAGGGAGCGUAGACGGCAGCACAAGUCUGGAGUGAAAUGCCGGGGCUUAACCCCGGAACUGCUUUGGAAACUGACACCCUUGAGUGAGUGAGAAGUAAGCGGAAUGCGUGUUGUAGCGGUGAAAUGCAUAGAUAUUACGCAGAACGCCGAUUGCGAAGGCAGCUUACCGGCGCUCAACUGACGCUGAGGCACGAAAGUGCGGGUAUCGAACAGGAUUAGAUACCCGAGUAGUC